AAUUAAUGAGCUUGUAAAUUAAGCAUUUGUUUUGAAAACAUAAGAAAGAACUYUAUUCUAUUAAUUU
Molecule: transfer RNA, 67 nt
Filed under: Asura megala
Lineage: Eukaryota; Metazoa; Arthropoda; Insecta; Lepidoptera; Erebidae
Description: tRNA-Ser
Source: RNAcentral